Non-coding RNA from Chrysemys picta bellii (western painted turtle), 923 nucleotides. NCBI's taxonomy places the organism in Eukaryota, Metazoa, Chordata, Testudines, Emydidae. The record is from RefSeq and is a predicted model, not a curated record.
UACGUGAGCCCGAGACGACUACGGGACAAAGCUGCAGGCUGGACAUGGGCGCUUUAGCAUGAUGUAGCCUGCAACGUAUCAAGGAGCAGACUGGCAGCCCUUCUGGUGUGGGCAGCACCCAGGAAUGGCCCUGGUCCUGACUGGGCCUCUUGGCGCUACCGUAACCCAAAUCAACAUUAAUAUGAAUGGUCCUGCUCGUCAGUCUGUGCCAGCACAAAGCCAGAGGCUAUGGCUCCACCCUCCCUGAUCGGACCCCGGAUGGGCCCGCCCGGGCCUUGUGCAGCAUAGACCCAGCUGAGUGGUUUGGCUGGGACCUCAUUAACUCGGCCCUCCCUGGACGGGACACGAGGAGGGUCAGCUGCACCCGAGAGCAGCUCGCACAGAACUGAGCAGUGUCACCCCAGCUGGCAAUGACCUCACCCAGCUCAGAACUUCUGAGCCGUUUGGAUCCAAACAGCCUGAUGCCGUUGGGACCAGAACAUUCCAGGACAAUUUAAACCACAACCGUCUGGUGCCACUUGGAUCAAACCCUUGGCUCAGGUCAAUCGUGAUCCUGUCUCUGCUGCCUGCACUGUGAGAUCUGGAGAUUUAGCUGAAGAAUUGGACCAGAACCGCCAUCCCUUCCCCAGCAGAGACCCAGACCUUCUGGCUGGUGCUGUGACAAAUAAUCCAGGAGGUUUCGAGGACUGUGACAGGCACCAGCCUUGGCCCGAGUCCCCAGAGCCAGGACCAUGGCGCACAGCCAGGGGCUUCCUGCUGACGCCCCAGAGACGAAUCCCGGAGCUGCCCAGGAGCGGUCAGAGUCGCAGAGAUCAGGGGAGUCGCCCCCUCGUCAGGGGGUCUCUGCUGGGAGCCCCAUUCCUGGGGAAACGGCGGAGGAGAGGGUCUCUGCCUCUGCAGGCCCCAGGGACCCAAGCCAGCAG